GUCUAUAGUGAUACCACACUGAAUGGUCCCAAUCUUGUCUGAUCCCAGAAGCUGAGCAGGGUUGGGUCUGCUUAGUACUUGGAUGGGAGAUAUUUAGUUUAUUGAAAAUUUAAGGCU
RNAcentral lists this ribosomal RNA (117 nucleotides) under Microcebus murinus (gray mouse lemur). Lineage: Eukaryota; Metazoa; Chordata; Mammalia; Primates; Cheirogaleidae. The record is from RNAcentral.